RNAcentral lists this ribosomal RNA (301 nucleotides) under uncultured bacterium. RNAcentral's name for it is "partial 16S ribosomal RNA". It matches the Rfam family "Bacterial small subunit ribosomal RNA", at positions 509 to 809 of the family's 1533-position model. The record is from RNAcentral.
CAGCCGCCGCGGUAAUACGAGGGGUGCAAGCGUUAUUCGGAUUGAUUGGGCGUAAAGGGCUCGCAGGCGGUUUCUUAAGUCUGAUGUGAAAGCCCCCGGCUCAACCGGGGAGGGUCAUUGGAAACUGGGAAACUUGAGUGCAGAAGAGGAGAGUGGAAUUCCACGUGUAGCGGUGAAAUGCGUAGAGAUGUGGAGGAACACCAGUGGCGAAGGCGACUCUUUGGUCUGUAACUGACGCUGAGGAGCGAAAGCGUGGGGAGCGAACAGGAUUAGAGACCCCCGUAGUCCCUGUCUCUUAUAA